GAAAUGCGAUAAGUAGUGUGAAUUGCAGAAUUCAGUGAAUCAUCGAAUCUUUGAACGCACAUUGCGCCUCCUGGUAUUCCGGGAGGCAUGCCUGUUCGAGCGUCAUCAAAAACCUCAGUCCGAGACUUUGUCGAGGAUUGGUCGUGCCUCGGAUGCGAUUGGGCAUCCCCGGCGAAAUCCAAUGGCGAAGAGCCCCUGGGCCAAAGCGUAGUAUUAACACCUCGUUGUGGUCCGGCGCGCGCUUCCGCCGUAACCCCCCCAUCUCCAAGUUUUUGACCUCGGAUCAGGUAGGGAUACCCGCUGAACUUAA
Molecule: unclassified non-coding RNA, 310 nt
Filed under: uncultured Cephaliophora
Lineage: Eukaryota; Fungi; Ascomycota
Description: partial contains 5.8S ribosomal RNA, internal transcribed spacer 2, and large subunit ribosomal RNA
Rfam family: 5.8S ribosomal RNA (bases 1-105)
Source: RNAcentral